This is a long non-coding RNA of Thunnus maccoyii (southern bluefin tuna), 3673 nucleotides long. RefSeq lists it as uncharacterized. NCBI's taxonomy places the organism in Eukaryota, Metazoa, Chordata, Actinopteri, Scombriformes, Scombridae. The transcript has 4 exons. The record is from RefSeq and is a predicted model, not a curated record.
UUGUGACUGUUACGUGCGAUGCUCUGGUACCGCUCCAUAGCGACUUCAGCUUCCACAUGUUGACCCUUCUGUAUGGGUAUUGCGCAAUAAUCUGGCAGGAGAGACACUGACUGCCACUGCUGUCUGUUUUGUUUUGUGUUUGUUUUGUUGUUGAUACAGUUGCUUUGAUUUUGCUGUGUUUCCAUUUAUUCUCAUCUGCAUUAUUUAGCCUUUAGUUUCAAUAGGUGGUCUCUGUUAAUGUUAUUUUUCUUUGUUACAUUCUUCCAGCCCUUUGUGGCGCUCACUGCUUCCCCCCAAGAAGUUAAUAACAUAGUGUGCUGCCACACAGCACUAAUAUUGUGAGUUUAACACGUGUUUUCUGUGUCUGUGUGAGUGCUACAGGAGUGGUGGGAGGUGUGGCCGUCAAGACGAUGAGGGAUUCGGUGAUAGAGUUCCUCACUUGUGCUUCACAUAAUCACACCCCUAUAAUCGUAUGUUUGUUGGUAAUUUUUGCACUUCCUUCACAAUUCAAAUUCUUUCCCUUAUUGUUUUGCUUUACUCAGUGUGUGUAUGUGUGUAGAGCACGGCAGCAUGGUGAGUACUCUGUCCCAGUAUAACUUUUCUCCUUUCACUGUCUGCAGCUACAGCCGAUCAUCCUUUAGCACUCCCCUUUUCUUAUUGUAAUUUGCAUCUUUAAGUAUUUUUGCUUUUUUGUACAGUUUUUAAAUAGAUUAGAUUUAAUAAAUGUCCUGUUUUUAAUAUCUUGUUUAAUCGUUAGUAGUUGUUAAAUUGUUGAGGCGGAUAAUACAUUUUGUAAUCUUGGGGGUGUUCCUUGUCUCCAUCCAUCAUUUACUGUCACAUGUAUCAUUAUAAUGGAUCUGUAGGCUCUUAGCUGGUUUGGGUUGAGUAUUAAAUGGUCAGUGUAGCCUGUAAUUUUAAAACCAAAUCUGGGCCUUGCCAUGGCCCUGCCACAUUCUGGUGUAGUUGGCAGGAUACAGUGAUGGUGUAGGUGGGCUUAUGAGACAAGGAUUGUUUUUUUCUUCUUUAGUUCAGAGUUUUUGUUUUGUUUGUUUGUUUUUGUUUGGUUUAAACAAAUCAGCAGUGUGCACAUUGAGGGACCUGCUGAGCACCAGUGCCACCCUGUCUUGGGUACUCCAACUAGGUUGAAGUGCUUCCAUUGACUGUGCCUUUACUGACUCCUCCUCAUUUCAGCCAUGGCCAGAGAGCUCUAAGAAUUGAAAGACUUGGUCCAGCAGCUGCAGGCUGAAAAGGAAAAGCUACUGCAGGAGCGAGGAGUAGUCAAUUCACCCCACUUGGCCCUCAAUACUCUGCUCCCAAUUAUCCUUUCCCUGUUGAAUGAUUGCUUUAUAUUCUGAGGGAAUGAACAUGUCCACUUCUGGGAUUCCAGUGGAGCAUUGGGUUGAAGAGAUGAGGGCCACUCUGAGAACCAGACAGCUGAGACUUCUUGAUCAAGCUUAUUUUGUACAUGAUCAUCUGUGGGGGGAAGCCAAAAAUGAGAUAAGGUACCGGCCUAGAGCAGAGACAGAGGACCCAAGAAAAUUUUAACUAUUCUUCAAGAUUUGUAUGGUUGUUCUAAAUCUUAUAUCUCUUUGCAGCAGAGUUUUUUUCUAGGAAACAGCAGGAAGGAGAAUCACUUCAAGAUUUUUCACAUGCAUUAUGCUGUCUCAUGGAAAAGGUUGAAUGUUGUGCCCCACGAGGAAUGCACAGUGCCCCCACCCUUCUUAGAGAUCAGUUUGUUGAACAUGUUCUUGACUCUAAUCUUCACAGAGAGUUAAAGGGAGUAGUGCUGCAACAUCCUGAUUACACUCUCCUAGACGUGAGAGCAGAGGCCAUUCGCUGGGAGUGGGAGGGAUGACCUGAUGAGCCUAGGGGUAGGAGUUAUUCAGUGCCUUCCUUUAGUGCCAUGCAGUGUUCUGAGGGUAGGGCAUCUACUAGUUCUGGUAGCACAGAAAUGGCAAAGUUAGAGCACAUGUUACAGAAACAACAAAAGCAGCUUAAUCAAUUGACACAGGGUCCAUUAGUGCUACACGCAGCCUCCAGGCCCCCUGCUAAAUCAAUAUGCCCAAACACUGUUAUAUGUAGGUGUUGUCAAAAACCAGGUCACUAUGCCAGGGAGUGCCAUUAUGAAUGUGUUAAUUCACAGGUUCAGCAGUCCAGGGCCUCACAUCCCGCAGCAGCAACCUCUGCUGCUCAGGAUUUGGGAAACCUCUUCCCCCUGAUGUGAGGAGCCAAACAUUAGGAGGGGAGGACAGCAUUUCAGAUGUACAGGGACCAGCUGCUCAGACCAUUGCCCCUAAUCUGGUAGCACCUUGCCCUAAGAGGAUGAGCACCUUAGUUGCCUGGACUUAGUUUUGGGCUGCUUCCGAAAGGAGGGAUUAAAGGCCAAGCUUGAGAAGUGCCAUUUCUUACAACAACAGGUAUCAUACUUGGGGCAUGUAAUUUCUGCUGCAAGAUUACUGCUGUGGCUGACUGGGCAAAUCCAGGUCAUGUAGAAGAGCCAACUGCAGGUGAAGCCUGUGACUGGGUCGGGGAGCAUCAGCAAUGACUGCAGGUGGCAGUGGAGAAUGCCUUGGAAAGGAUGAAGCAGGUUGCAGUCCAGCGGAAGGAGAGAGCAGACCAACAGGCCCAGAAGGAGGUGUUACCAGCAGGACAACAUGUCUAUCUUCAGGACUAUUCCAUAGAGGAAGGAAUAAAAUCCAGGAUGUCUGGGCCCCCAAACUUUUCCAGGUGGUGAAACCUCCCGAGCAAGGAGGUACAGUGUAUGCUGUUGCCUCACAACAUAGGCCGACAGAGAUAGCAACAAGAAGAACAAGAGAAAACAAAACAGGUUCCUGCUGGUCAUCCUGUUCCUGUGGCUAGGCCUAAACCAGCUAUGACAAGCCCUGACACUGAGGAGUGUGAUCCGUGCGUGGUGGUCAGAUGUGUGACUAGACCACAGGACCCCCGGCCUGUCAGAGUACAGACCCCACCUGAAGUGGACCCAGUGCUUCACUCUGCAAUAUCUAUGGCGGCUUCACCUGAGGCUUCGACUUGUACCAGUUCCUACACAGCCCCCUGUCCUAAGGUGGUAAGAAAGUCUACCCAUGACACAGCCGGUAAACACUCUAAUCCCCACAUUUGCCAGUGACAGUAAGGAGUAGAGCAACUGAGGCUACAAAUUCCCAGACACUUGGCUCUAGUAGUUCCACCCUAGCUCUCAUCAGACCCUGGUCUAAGUAAAUUUUCAGGCUGCCAAUUUAAGAACCCCAGGGAAGAAUGUAGCUAGUAAUGUCCCUCCUGUGCUACAUAGGGCCAAUCAUCCUUUAGCACUCUCCUUUUCUUAUUUUAAAGUGCAUCUUAAAUUAUUAUGUGGGCAAUCACAGCCAUUGCCACACACUGACGUGCUGACACGCUACUGUAAGUGUAUUGUGUCAUUUCUGGUUGCUGACUGUGUUUACUGAUAGCAUUGUUGCUGCGCUCAACUCAGUUGAUUUUGCUAUAUUUCAUAUUACUAUAGAUUAAUACCUGCUGUAUAUUUAAACUUUCGCUAGGUCUACACAAGCACUCUCAGCACUUUCCCUCUUAGUGACUUUUCUCACCAAUUGCACAGUUGUUAGUUAUUUUAGCUCUGCAGCUAACAUUAGCAGCUAACUUAAACUAAGCAGUUAGCGAUGGCUUCUCUCUCUCCCUCUCG